This 417-nucleotide ribosomal RNA is filed under the name uncultured bacterium. Its description in RNAcentral is "bacterial SSU rRNA". It matches the Rfam family "Bacterial small subunit ribosomal RNA", at positions 954 to 1392 of the family's 1533-position model. The record is from RNAcentral.
GCAGAACGCGAAGAACCUUACCAACCCUUGACAUGUGUAUCGCGGUUCCAGAGAUGGUUCCUUCAGUUCGGCUGGAUACAACACAGGUGCUGCAUGGCUGUCGUCAGCUCGUGUCGUGAGAUGUUCGGUUAAGUCCGGCAACGAGCGCAACCCACACUUUCAGUUGCCAUCAUUCAGUUGGGCACUCUGGAAGAACUGCCGGUGAUAAGCCGGAGGAAGGUGUGGAUGACGUCAAGUCCUCAUGGCCCUUACGGGUUGGGCUACACACGUGCUACAAUGGUGGUGACAAUGGGUUAAUCCCCAAAAGCCAUCUCAGUUCGGAUUGGGGUCUGCAACUCGACCCCAUGAAGUCGGAAUCGCUAGUAAUCGCGUAACAGCAUGACGCGGUGAAUACGUUCCUGGGUCUUGUACACACCG